Molecule: ribosomal RNA, 1236 nt
Filed under: Lactobacillus crispatus
Lineage: Bacteria; Bacillati; Bacillota; Bacilli; Lactobacillales; Lactobacillaceae
Description: partial 23S ribosomal RNA
Rfam family: Bacterial large subunit ribosomal RNA
Source: RNAcentral
AGGUCAAGUAGAAAAGGGCGCACGGUGAAUGCCUAGGCACUAACAGCCGAAGAAGGACGUGACGAACUACGAAAAGCUUCGGGGAGCGGUAAGUACGCAGUGAUCCGGAGAUAUCCGAAUGGGGGAACCCAAUGCAGAGAUGCAUUAUUGAUUAGUGAAUAGAUAGCUAAUCAAAGGAAGACGCAGUGAACUGAAACAUCUAAGUAGCUGCAGGAAGAGAAAGAAAGAUCGAUUUCCUUAGUAGCGGCGAGCGAAGAGGAAAGAGCCCAAACCAAGUGAUUUAUCAUUUGGGGUUGUAGGACUGCGACGUGGCAGUGUAAGAGAUAGUUGAAUUAUCUGGGAAGGUAAGCCAGAGAGGGUGAGAGCCCCGUAAGCGAAAUCUCAAGCACGCCUAGCAGAAUCCUGAGUAGGCCGGGACACGAGGAAUCCCGGUUGAAACCGCGAGGACCAUCUCGCAAGGCUAAAUACUAGUUAGUGACCGAUAGUGAACCAGUACCGUGAGGGAAAGGUGAAAAGAACCCCGGAAGGGGAGUGAAAAAGAACCUGAAACCGUGUGUCUACAAGUAGUCAAAGCACGUUAAAGUGCAAUGGCGUGCCUUUUGUAGAAUGAACCGGCGAGUUACGUUAUCUAGCGAGGUUAAGUCAGAAAAGACGGAGCCGGAGCGAAAGCGAGUCUUAAUAGGGCGAAAAGUUAGGUGACGUAGACCCGAAACCAAGUGACCUACCCAUGACCAGGCUGAAGGUGUGGUAAAACGCACUGGAGGGCCGAACCCACGUAAGUUAAAAAUUGCGGGGAUGAGUUGUGGGUAGCGGUGAAAUUCCAAACGAACUUGGAGAUAGCUGGUUCUCUCCGAAAUAGCUUUAGGGCUAGCCUCGUGGAGAGGAUAAUGGAGGUAGAGCUCUGUUUGGACUAGGGGCCCGUCAGGGGUUACUGAAUCCAGAUAAACUACGAAUUCCAGAUAUCCAUACACGGGAGUCAGACUGCGAGUGAUAAGAUCCGUAGUCGAAAGGGAAACAGCCCAGAUCACCAGUUAAGGUCCCCAAAUCUAUGCUAAGUGGAAAAGGAUGUGGAGUUGCGUAGACAACUAGGACGUUGGCUCAGAAGCAGCCAUCAUUCAAAGAGUGCGUAAUAGCUCACUAGUCGAGUGGCGCUGCGCCGAAAAUUUACCGGGGCUAAGCAUAGUACCGAAACUGUGGAUGUGUUUUAAAGAGCACGUGGUAGGAGAGCGUUCUAAG